AGGACGAACGCUGGCGGCGUGCUUAACACAUGCAAGUGGAGCGACGAACCAGGGCUUGCCCUGGGGCAGAGCCGCGAACGGGUGAGUAACACGUGGGUUACCUGCCUCGAUGACCGGGACAACCCGAGGAAACUCGGGCUAAUACCGGAUGUGCCCGCAAGGGGAAAGGAAGCUUCGGCCUCCGCAUCGAGAUGGGCCCGCGGCCCAUUAGCUUGUUGGUGAGGUAACGGCUCACCAAGGCUUCGAUGGGUAGCUGGUCUGAGAGGACGAUCAGCCACACUGGGACUGAGACACGGCCCAGACUCCUACGGGAGGCAGCAGUGGGGAAUCUUGCGCAAUGCGCGAAAGCGUGACGCAGCAACGCCGCGUGGGGGAAGAAGGCUUUCGGGUUGUAAACCCCUUUCAGUUGGGACGAAGCUUCGGCAGUUAACAGCUGACUGGAGUGACGGUACCUUCACAAGAAGCACCGGCUAACUACGUGCCAGCAGCCGCGGUAA
Molecule: ribosomal RNA, 497 nt
Filed under: uncultured bacterium
Lineage: Bacteria
Description: SSU rRNA
Rfam family: Bacterial small subunit ribosomal RNA
Source: RNAcentral